This is a long non-coding RNA of Triticum aestivum (bread wheat), 1462 nucleotides long. RefSeq lists it as uncharacterized. The record is from RefSeq and is a predicted model, not a curated record. NCBI's taxonomy places the organism in Eukaryota, Viridiplantae, Streptophyta, Magnoliopsida, Poales, Poaceae. The transcript is spliced from 5 exons.
AUGCCCCGCAGUAAAAAAGAAAGUAAACCGCCCGCCCGCACGACCUCCUCCUCCUCCUCCCGCAGCCGCGCCGUUCGCCUCCCGCAGCCGCGCCCUUCACCGCCUCCUCGCGCCGCCGGAGCCACGGGAAGCGGCCGCGGGUCGCCGGGAGCCUCCCCGACCGCGGGAGCCCGCCCCGCUCCCGCCGCGGCUCGCCGGGAGCCUCCCCUGCCGCCGAAGCCGCCCCGCCGCAGCUUGGCCUCCGCCACUCCGCCACUCCGCCGGAGCGAGUCUCUCUCCUCUUCUCUUGGGAUGGGACGCCUUCUCUCCUCUGCUCCCAGCCGGAUCCAAUCCACCUCGCCCCGGCAUGCAGCCACGGAAGGCCAGGUCCGUGCGCCUCUUUCCCAUGGCCAUGGAGUCGCCGCAGCCGCCAUGGAAUGCCUGAAUGUCGUCAAGAUGCACGCAGGUGCAGCACCUACACCGAUGGCUGCUCUUGAGACACAGACAACAUAGGAGAGGACAAGUCCAGAAUUGCUAGACUGAAUCUAUCCAUCUGCUCUGCUCUCGGGACAACAGAGGAGAGGACGAGUCCAGAAUUGCUUGACUGAAUCUAUCCAUCUGCUCAGCUCAGUUCAUGCAGAGGCUAGAGACAUAGCAAUCGUCAGGCUUCAGUUUUGUACUGACCACUCCAAGGCUUGUUCAACCUGGUGAAUCUUUCCUUCAUCUGCAUCAUUUUUCGCUUCAGUCUGUACAUCCUCGCCCUCCGCACAUCCUCGCCCUCCGCCCACCGAUCCUAUUCUCCGCCGCCCGCCUUCCUCUGCUCCUCCUCUGCCGCCGCCGAUCUCAUCCGAGCCAGUACAAAUAUUGCCACUCAUCAACAUCUGCAGCAUCUAAGUGAAGUGAUUAUGUGGAUCUUGUGAGGAAAACAGAUAGGCCAAGAAGCCUGGGAGGUUGUCUACAGUCACUGGCCUGGUAUGUGACCUGCUUGCAUCUUCUAAAUUAUCUUCUAAAUUAGUAUGAAUUUUUUCUGCUCAAAAACAGUUUUCUAUGAUAUUUGUAAUUUCCACGUUUCGAUUGAGCUUCUUACGAUCUAUCAGUAAGGCCUCUCAGGUUUUAGAUUUAUGAUUAGAUCGUUGCAUAUAAGCCAAAAUGAGUCUAUGAUAAGGGAAAUAAACUGGCUACGCUUACCGUAUGGAUGAAACUGAAGAGUGAAGUGAUAUUUCUUUCUACCAUUGCAUAGCUUUACCAUCACCGAUCCAUGUUAAGUGUGAUUUGUUUCUCUGUACAUUAUUCGGAUACAAAGGAUUCGAGCUGAAAAGAAGAUGCAGUGGAGAACAUUAUCACAAGUUAGCAUUUCCUGUGAAACGAAGACCAUUAUAUAGAACAUUGAUUAAUUUGUAAAAAAAUGCUGAUAGCCAAAGGUUAAUGCUGAUAGACCAUUAUAUAUAAACACUUGAAAUAAUUCAGUUAUGGUUUCUAUCAA